This 477-nucleotide ribosomal RNA is filed under the name uncultured bacterium. RNAcentral describes it as "bacterial SSU rRNA". It matches the Rfam family "Bacterial small subunit ribosomal RNA", at positions 8 to 475 of the family's 1533-position model. The record is from RNAcentral.
AGAGUUUGAUCCUGGCUCAGAUUGAACGCUGGCGGAAUGCUUUACCAUGCAAGUYGAACGCGUAAGGGACUUCGGUCCCGAGUAGAGUGGCGCACGGGUGAGUAACGMGUAAGURAUCUACCCCUGUAUCUGGAAUAACCAACCGAAAGGUGAGCUAAUACCGGAUACGUUUGUCUUGAUGCGAAUGAUGAUAAAGAAAGGUGGCCUCUUCAUGAAAGCUACCGUACAGGGACGAGCUUGCGUACCAUUAGCUGGUUGGUAGGGUAAUGGCCUACCMAGGCGACGAUGGUUAGCGGGUCUGAGAGGAUGAUCCGCCMCACUGGAACUGAAACACGGACCAGACUCCUACGGGAGGCAGCAGUGAGGAAUAUUGCGYAAUGGGGGCAACCCUGACGCAGCGACGCCGCGUGGACGAUGAAGGCCCUUGGGUCGUAAAAUCCUGUCAGAUGGAAAGAAAUGUACASGUGUUAAUAUCGC